Molecule: unclassified non-coding RNA, 345 nt
Filed under: soil metagenome
Description: partial contains 5.8S ribosomal RNA, internal transcribed spacer 2, and large subunit ribosomal RNA
Rfam family: 5.8S ribosomal RNA (bases 1-120)
Source: RNAcentral
GAUGAAGAACGUAGCGAAAUGCGAUAAGUAAUGUGAAUUGCAGAAUUCAGCGAAUCAUCGAGUCUUUGAACGCACAUUGCGCCCCCUGGUAUUCCGGGGGGCAUGCCUGUCCGAGCGUCAUUGCUGCCCUCAAGCACGGCUUGUGUGUUGGGCUCCGCCCCCCUCCCGGGGGGCGGGCCCGAAAGGCAGCGGCGGCACCGCGUCCGGUCCUCGAGCGUAUGGGGCUUUGUCACCCGCUCUGUAGGCCCGGCCGGCGCCCGCCGGCGACCCCAAUCAAUCUUUCCAGGUUGACCUCGGAUCAGGUAGGGAUACCCGCUGAACUUAAGCAUAUCAAUAAGCGGAGGA